GGAUCAUCAGGUUGGUCGUGCCUCUGGUAUGUACUUUCCUCGAUGGUUCCUCCUUCUUGAAGAUCCGUAAUGUCAUUAAUUUGGUGUUGCGGGGAAUCAGGACUGUUACUUUGAAAAAAUUAGAGUGUUUAAAGCAGGCAAUCGCUUGAAUACAUUAGCAUGGAAUAAUGAAAUAGGACGUUCGAUCCUAUUUUGUUGGUUUCUAGGAUUGACGUA
Molecule: ribosomal RNA, 216 nt
Filed under: Glomus sp.
Lineage: Eukaryota; Fungi; Glomeromycota; Glomeromycetes; Glomerales; Glomeraceae
Also listed under: 2 other names
Description: partial small subunit ribosomal RNA
Rfam family: Eukaryotic small subunit ribosomal RNA (bases 28-216)
Source: RNAcentral